Dama dama (fallow deer) is the source of this 1297-nucleotide long non-coding RNA. RefSeq lists it as uncharacterized. The transcript has 2 exons. Lineage: Eukaryota; Metazoa; Chordata; Mammalia; Artiodactyla; Cervidae. The record is from RefSeq and is a predicted model, not a curated record.
GGGGCGGUGGACCUGAUGGCUGUAGCUGAUGCCCAGCUGUACCGUGGGGCGGAGAAGUGCUGCUCUGCCUGCCCGAAGGCAGCGGGUUUGCCUCUGCUGAAUCUUCAAAGCUCCUCGAUCCACACAUCGGUGGAGGGAGGUCCUGGUAAGAAACAUAGAACUAACAAGCGACCACCAACUGGAAGAAUUCAGGAAAGGUCAAAAGGAGAGAGGAAACUCCAGUCCAUAUGUCCUACCAACCUCCCAGGAUUCUUCUGGCUGGAAGCCAUCUUGGCUGAGUGGAUGCAAGCAUCACCAGGAAGGACUCCUGACUCAGAAGGAUUGGCCAGAGACAACCCAGGAACGAAUCCCAUCACCAUAAAACCCAAGACUGUGAGCCAUGUGGCAGAGCCCUUCUCCUGGUUUCCUUAAUGCUGCUGUUCUCUGCCCAGGCGCCCCUUCCCAAUAGAGUCUCUUGCUUUGUCAGCACGUGUGUCUCCUUGGACAAUUCAUUUCCGAGUGUUAGAUAAGAGCCCACUCUCGGGCCCUCGGAAGGGAUCCCCCUUCCUGUAACAAUUCCCUGUUUCCCUACUCAAAUAUCCAAACGAUGUGUGACCUAACUGAAUGUAUUUAAGAUAAUCUUUUUUUUUUUUGUCAAUGAAAUAGUUAAUUAUCUAUUUAUAACAAGUAACAUACUUGCCAUCUGUGAGGCUGGCAAGUCAUGAUCACAGGUUAUGUGUGACAACGUAUUACUUUAGAAGAGUGCUCUCAUCACCCUAUCCUGUCACUCAAUUUUUUGCCACCUCAUCCACUGCACCUGUGGGCUCAGGGCCUCUGCCAUCAUCGAAGCCACCUUUUGAGUCAUCUGAGUCGUCUAAGCACGUCUUCUCUCCCUUCUUGGUUCUCUGCGAUGCAACAUUUUUGAAAUCUGUAGGAUGCUUUCAUGGGCAUUUUUAGCCAAGCUUCGAGCACCUAUUUGCAUAACAUUAGGGCAGCUGGCAGUCCCAUUCAUCGGAGGUGUCCCUGCCUGAUCCCCAUCCUGUAACCACAGAUUGUGUGUUCUUAAGUGUCCUCAAAGGAUCUGUGCGCACUCACACUGGAACCUAUGACAGCAUAGGAUCGGUUCCAACCUGGGUUAAACUUACUAACCUCCUCUCAAGCGGUUCCUCGGAUGACCUUGGCCAGAAGGACCCAUGCAGGUUGUUUUAGGCAGCAUAUCUCACUGGUUGUUCAAAAAAUAAUCACUAAAAGCAUUCCACUACAUGAAAGUAUAUGUGCCGUCUUUCUUGAAAAUAAACAGCCUCCUGUUCCGGCAUCA